GCUCCGGUGGUGUAGUCCGGCCAUGAUUCCGCUUACUGAUUCGGAAUACACCGGAAAAGCAUAGAGGCCUCUCGAGUCUCUGACCCGGGUUCAAAUCCCGGCCGGAGCA
This 109-nucleotide transfer RNA is filed under the name Nitrososphaerota archaeon. Its description in RNAcentral is "tRNA-Glu". It matches the Rfam family "tRNA". Rfam says of the family: Transfer RNA (tRNA) molecules are approximately 80 nucleotides in length. Their secondary structure includes four short double-helical elements and three loops (D, anti-codon, and T loops). The record is from RNAcentral. Lineage: Archaea; Thermoproteati; Nitrososphaerota.